RNAcentral lists this ribosomal RNA (529 nucleotides) under uncultured bacterium. RNAcentral's name for it is "bacterial SSU rRNA". It matches the Rfam family "Bacterial small subunit ribosomal RNA", at positions 777 to 1305 of the family's 1533-position model. The record is from RNAcentral.
AAUAGAUACCCAGGUAGUCCAUGCCGUAAACGUUGGGCACUAGGUGUGGGGCUCAUUCCACGAGUUCCGUGCCGCAGCAAACGCAUUAAGUGCCCCGCCUGGGGAGUACGGCCGCAAGGCUAAACUCAAAGGAAUUGACGGGGGCCCGCACAAGCGGCGGAGCAUGCGGAUUAAUUCGAUGCAACGCGAAGAACCUUACCAAGGCUUGACAUGCACGGGAAGCCACCAGAGAUGGUGGUCUCUUUGGACACUCGUGCACAGGUGGUGCAUGGUUGUCGUCAGCUCGUGUCGUGAGAUGUUGGGUUAAGUCCCGCAACGAGCGCAACCCUCGUCCCAUGUUGCCAGCGGGUUAUGCCGGGGACUCAUGGGAGACUGCCGGGGUCAACUCGGAGGAAGGUGGGGAUGACGUCAAAUCAUCAUGCCCCUUAUGUCUUGGGCUUCACGCAUGCUACAAUGGCCGGUACAAAGGGCUGCGAUACCGUAAGGUGGAGCGAAUCCCAAAAAGCCGGUCUCAGUUCGGAUUGGGGUC